UACGGAGGGUGCAAGCGUUAUCCGGAUUCACUGGGUUUAAAGGGUGUGUAGGCGGAUAUUUAGGUCAGUGGUGAAAUCUCAAGGCUCAACCUUGAAACUGCCAUUGAUACUAUUUAUCUUGAAUAUCGUUGAGGUAGGCGGAAUAUAUCAUGUAGCGGUGAAAUGCUUAGAUAUGACAUAGAACACCAAUUGCGAAGGCAGCUUACUACGGAUAUAUUGACACUGAGGCACGAAAGCGUGGGGAUCAAACAGG
This 253-nucleotide ribosomal RNA is filed under the name uncultured bacterium. RNAcentral's name for it is "partial 16S ribosomal RNA". It matches the Rfam family "Bacterial small subunit ribosomal RNA", at positions 524 to 776 of the family's 1533-position model. The record is from RNAcentral.